UCUAAACUGAUCUCUAUUUUUUAAAUUACAAACAGCAGUUUUACCCAGAAAAAUUUUCGAAAAAAAUUCAUUUGAGUGGGUAAACGUUUUCUGAUUGAUCUGAAAUUUUACAUACAUAUUUUUGGCACUGUUAUUGAAUAUACAAAAAUAUUUUCCGCAAAAAAAUAAGUCGAAAAAGUCAAAAAAUUGAAAAAAUACGAAAUCUAAUAAAAAAUUAAAAAAAUAUUCAGCGGGUUGAAUUUGGUGCCCAAAUUUUCCAGAUCAAAAAUUCAAUAUUUGAAGACAUUCCAGAUUUAAUUUCGUGAUUUUUGGAGAUCGGGAACACCUCGAACAAAGUUGUCAAGUUACUCCGCAGUUUUUCGGGUUUUCUGUUUUCAGCAAUUUUUAUUGAUUCUUAGCUGUAGGUUUUCAUUUGUUUGCUUUUUAUUCUCCCUUUACAAUAUCUAACACCUUCUUGUUUUUUUGUGUUAGUAGGAUUUAAACGUGUGCCCAAUUCUUCCUCGGUGCAACACGAAUCAAUUGGUGUCUCGUCAGUUUUUGGCAUCCUAGUGCAAAUUAGGAUUCUUUGGUAGUUUGGUUCACACUCUCUAAUUGGUUGAUAUAAACUCUGAUAAAGAACUCACAAGAUUGAAUUCGAC
Molecule: long non-coding RNA, 638 nt
Filed under: Gossypium barbadense (sea-island cotton)
Lineage: Eukaryota; Viridiplantae; Streptophyta; Magnoliopsida; Malvales; Malvaceae
Description: long non-coding RNA (GBAR_LNC016495)
Source: RNAcentral